Molecule: non-coding RNA, 76 nt
Organism: Phrynosoma platyrhinos (Desert horned lizard)
Lineage: Eukaryota; Metazoa; Chordata; Lepidosauria; Squamata; Phrynosomatidae
Source: the annotation of a GenBank genome assembly
AGCAGUGUAGCCUAGUGGUUUGAGUGGCGGACUAGGACUCUGAAGAAAGAGCGGGGUUCAAAUCCCGGCUCAGCCA